Molecule: ribosomal RNA, 468 nt
Filed under: uncultured bacterium
Lineage: Bacteria
Description: partial 16S ribosomal RNA
Rfam family: Bacterial small subunit ribosomal RNA
Source: RNAcentral
GACGAACGCUGGCGGCGUGCUUAACACAUGCAAGUCGAACGGAAAGGCCCUGCUUUUGUGGGGUGCUCGAGUGGCGAACGGGUGAGUAACACGUGAGUAACCUGCCCUUGACUUUGGGAUAACUUCAGGAAACUGGGGCUAAUACCGGAUAGGAGCUCCUGCUCCAUGGUGGGGGUUGGAAGGUUUCGGCGGUUGGGGAUGGACUCGCGGCUUAUCAGCUUGUUGGUGGGGUAGUGGCUUACCAAGGCUUUGACGGGUAGCCGGCCUGAGAGGGUGACCGGCCACAUUGGGACUGAGAUACGGCCCAGACUCCUACGGGAGGCAGCAGUGGGGAAUAUUGCACAAUGGGCGGAAGCCUGAUGCAGCAACGCCGCGUGCGGGAUGACGGCCUUCGGGUUGUAAACCGCUUUCGCCUGUGACGAAGCGUGAGUGACGGUAAUGGGUAAAGAAGCACCGGCUAACUACGUG